UGUUAAAAUCUUCAUUUAUUUGUACUGUUCAAAACUGGCGUAUCUGACAGAAUAACUAGACAUUGAUGUGAUGUGCUACGUGUAUGUCAUGUUGACAUAUAGAGACCAGUUUUUAAUAGUAAAAAUGGAUGGAAUUUUCAAUA
Molecule: non-coding RNA, 143 nt
Organism: Gossypium hirsutum (cotton)
Lineage: Eukaryota; Viridiplantae; Streptophyta; Magnoliopsida; Malvales; Malvaceae
Source: Rfam